CAGCCGCCACGGUAAUACGGAGGGGGCUAGCGUUGUUCGGAAUUACUGGGCGUAAAGCGCACGUAGGCGGCUAUGUAAGUUAGAGGUGAAAGCCUGGAGCUCAACUCCAGAAUUGCCUUUAAGACUGCGUGGCUAGAAGGUGAGAGAGGUGAGUGGAAUUCCGAGUGUAGAGGUGAAAUUCGUAGAUAUUCGGAAGAACACCAGUGGCGAAGGCGGCUCACUGGCUCAUACUGGACGCUGAGGUGCGAAAGCGUGGGGAGCAAACAGGAUUAGAUACCCCCGUAGUCCCUGUCUCUUAUAC
Molecule: ribosomal RNA, 301 nt
Filed under: uncultured bacterium
Lineage: Bacteria
Description: partial 16S ribosomal RNA
Rfam family: Bacterial small subunit ribosomal RNA
Source: RNAcentral